UUGUUAUCAAGAAAGGUGGAGGGAGUAGACCCGAUGAAACCUUAGCAACCCUUUAUCUGUUAAAGAAGGUGCUACAUUCUAUCCUGAAAUUCAGGAAAAGAUAACCC
Molecule: non-coding RNA, 107 nt
Filed under: Aquimarina spongiae
Lineage: Bacteria; Pseudomonadati; Bacteroidota; Flavobacteriia; Flavobacteriales; Flavobacteriaceae
Description: SAM-I sequence
Rfam family: SAM riboswitch aptamer (S box leader)
About the family: The SAM riboswitch is found upstream of a number of genes which code for proteins involved in methionine or cysteine biosynthesis in Gram-positive bacteria. The SAM riboswitch acts at the level of transcription termination control.
Source: Rfam by way of RNAcentral